Molecule: long non-coding RNA, 737 nt
Filed under: Danio rerio (zebrafish)
Lineage: Eukaryota; Metazoa; Chordata; Actinopteri; Cypriniformes; Danionidae
Description: si:ch211-137o16.8 (ENSDARG00000097736.2)
Source: RNAcentral
AAAUGGACUCUUUCAAGUUACCCACUCGGAAGUAACAGAUGUUGUUCAGGGACGACGAAUUUUGUCGCUCUCCAUCCUAUCGACAGCUACAUUCUCAAAUUUACCGCUGGCACGAGCUCACACCGUUCAAACAGCGCAUCAAACCCGUCUGAAUGUGUAACCCGUGGGCAUUUGCAUCGUCACAUGACCCGAUUUCGGAAUGCAGGAUCCAUCAGCGGAAAAUGACAUAUUGUGCCAAGACAGAAAGUAUCUCACCGUACUGGCGUCGCGCUCGACUUUUGUCUUUACAUAUCUCGGUGCAGAGGGUUCAUCAGCAUCCACCGUCGUAUUCCAUGCGAGCAAUAUCUACGAGCACGUACCACACGUCAACUCGGAACUGUCGCCCCCUAUAACAGGACAGCGAUCCCCGGUGCCCUGAUCCGCCUCCCGCAGGAAGCAGUCCGAGCAAAGGCACUGAGGUGUGGCAGCGCUAGUCUGACCUGUUAGCGACAGUAUCGACGACAUUUAACAAAAUUAAUAAAGCAUGUUUUUGCUUAUUUGACUUCAAAACAUUUGACCGCAUGUGCUGAAUUGUUUCCAUUGAGUCGCUUUAAUGUGUUAAUGUCAGCAUGAAUCUAUAGCAUGCUAAUAGUUUUAAUUCAAACCAAAACAUCACUCAGGGUUAUUAAUAAGUUUAGCAUAUAUUUUUGUUAUUCUUUUUAUAUUGAUUUUAAAUAAAAUCUUAUUUAACCUCGUCA